GCUUUGGUGGUUCAGUGGUAGAAUUCUUGCCUUCCAUACAGGAGACCUGGGUUCCAUUCCUGGUCAAUGAA
RNAcentral lists this transfer RNA (71 nucleotides) under Loxodonta africana (African savanna elephant). It matches the Rfam family "tRNA". From Rfam's summary of the family: Transfer RNA (tRNA) molecules are approximately 80 nucleotides in length. Their secondary structure includes four short double-helical elements and three loops (D, anti-codon, and T loops). Lineage: Eukaryota; Metazoa; Chordata; Mammalia; Proboscidea; Elephantidae. The record is from Rfam by way of RNAcentral.